UAUUUUUCCUUUAAAACAACAACGAAGAUAAAAUGGGAAAACAUAAACUAUUAAAAAAAUCUGAAAAUAUGACAUGUAAUUUCAUUUAUAGAUACAGGCUGAUAACAUUUAAUGUCCUUAAAUCAAAAUUUUUAGAUUCAUAAGUUUUCAGUCAAAGUUAUAGGCUAGCAAAGCAAAAUAUAAACAUGUACAUAUGUAAACAUAGCGUUUACGUGUGAAAUGAAAGCCAUGUUUGCCACCCAUUUGCUUGCACUUGAUGCUUUAGAUUUUCAUGGUUAAUCUACAAGCAAUGAUGAUAAAAUAAGAAGUCUAACUAUAAUGCACAAUCCCAAAUAUAAAGAUUGUAAGCAAUUUAACCUAAAUACCUUUAACUUUUACAAUUUCCUCAUGGCAAUACUUUUACUCCAGUUACUAUUAGAAUAUUGAAAGAUAAAUAAUUUGUCAAGUUUUAGGUAACAAAUUGUAAUCAUGUUUACAAAAUUAAAUAGUAAGAAAUGUUACCUUAAUCUUGUACUUCAACCUUUGUACUUUGAGACGGGUGUGAUGCUUGUAAAAUUGACAAAAAAUGCAAUUUUAUUUCUAUCUGAAAAUUGAAUGCAAUUUGAAUUUAUAGUAUACUUCCGUAUAAAAAUAAGAGAAAACUUACCGUAUUUAGAAAAGUUGUUUGAUCACUAUUAAUCUUUUUCCCGCACCUAAAAAUUAUUUUGUUAUUUUUAUAAUUUGAGAUAAUUAAUUUGUAGAUUUUUUUUCUAAUUUUCUAAUUUGAGAUAAUUAACAUGAACGUAUCUCCUCCAUUUUAGGAGGAGAUAAUAAUAUAGAAGAAACAAAGGAACAAUAGGAGGAGAUAUUAUCUCAAAGCAGCAGUAGAAAAUGAUAAUGGCAUCACAGGCCAUAAGAAGAUUGAAGCAUGCGAUAAUUCUUAAUUGAGAUUGAAGCCUAUCAACUUUUAAGGAAGACUAAUGAAAAGGGUUUGAAAACUUUGAGUUUUAACGAUAAGGACAAAAUAAAUGGUAAAGUAAAUAGUACCAGGAUUGACUUUUUAGUAUAAAAAUAUGAUUUUUCGUUAAAAUGAACAGUACCGGAAGCUUUCAUUAAAGUUCCUUUAAAGAUAAUGUGGUGAUGACCUAGUGGAAUAUACGUUCGGUUUUCAAACAUGUAUACUGUCAAGCCCGUGGACAUUUUACCUGACAAUUUCAUAUGUGUGUGUGCAUGUACAGAUGCAUAUAUGUUAUACUUUUUUGGCUUCAAUUAUUAAAGUUUGUGUUUUAUUCCUUAACGUUAAUCUUCGCAUGCGUUUUCACAUGAAGCUCAUAUAGAGAAUGCCACUACAAAUAAAUAGGAAAUGGUGUUGUACCUAAUUUGUUGAACUUUAUUUCAAAUAGGUAUGAUGUGAAGAGUUGUUGAAGGUU
This 1409-nucleotide long non-coding RNA is filed under the name Malus domestica (apple). Its description in RNAcentral is "long non-coding RNA (MDOM_LNC005012)". Lineage: Eukaryota; Viridiplantae; Streptophyta; Magnoliopsida; Rosales; Rosaceae. The record is from RNAcentral.